This 220-nucleotide long non-coding RNA is filed under the name Malus domestica (apple). RNAcentral's name for it is "long non-coding RNA (MDOM_LNC018432)". Lineage: Eukaryota; Viridiplantae; Streptophyta; Magnoliopsida; Rosales; Rosaceae. The record is from RNAcentral.
GAAUCUCUGGCCAGAGUAUAUGAAUGAGAUUGGGGAAUGCGUUCCAAAUCACAUUCAAGGAAAUCAUAUAAGCAAACGAUUCACAUUGGAUAGUAGACAUGAGUAAAUAAACUAUCAUACCAAACAAUGUGGUCAAGAGUAUUAGAUUAGAGAAUGACCGUAUUGCAUUUGUAAUCCCGAACUGAAUAGGUUCUCUAACCUCUUCUGAUUAGCUUGGGUA